Molecule: ribosomal RNA, 567 nt
Filed under: uncultured Glomeromycotina
Lineage: Eukaryota; Fungi; Glomeromycota
Description: SSU rRNA
Rfam family: Eukaryotic small subunit ribosomal RNA
Source: RNAcentral
UUGGAGGGCAAGUCUGGUGCCAGCAGCCGCGGUAAUUCCAGCUCCAAUAGCGUAUAUUAAAGUUGUUGCAGUUAAAAAGCUCGUAGUUGAACUUCGGGGUCUACCCAUUGGUCAGGCUUAAUUGUCUGUACUGGUGAGAUGGAUCUCUACCUUCUGAGGAACUUUCAUGCCAUUUAUUUGGUGUGAUGGGAAAUCAGGACUGUUACUUUGAAAAAAUUAGAGUGUUUAAAGCAGACUAUCGUCUGAAUACAUUAGCAUGGAAUAAUGAAAUAGGACGGACUGAUUCUAUUUCGUUGGUUUCUAGGAUCACCGUAAUGAUUAAUAGGGAUAGUUGGGGGCAUUAGUAUUCAAUUGUCAGAGGUGAAAUUCCUGGAUUUAUUGAAGACUAACUACUGCGAAAGCAUUUGCCAAGGAUGUUUUCAUUAAUCAAGAACGAAAGUUAGGGGAUCGAAGACGAUCAGAUACCGUCGUAGUCUUAACCAUAAACUAUGCCGACUAGGGAUCGGACGAAGUUAAUUUUAUAAUGACGCGUUCGGCACCUUACGGGAAACCAAAGUGUUUGGGUUC